RNAcentral lists this ribosomal RNA (428 nucleotides) under Ostorhinchus taeniophorus (reef-flat cardinalfish). RNAcentral describes it as "partial 12S rRNA". It matches the Rfam family "Bacterial small subunit ribosomal RNA", at positions 915 to 1529 of the family's 1533-position model. Lineage: Eukaryota; Metazoa; Chordata; Actinopteri; Kurtiformes; Apogonidae. The record is from RNAcentral.
GGCGCUUCACACCCACCUAGAGGAGCCUGUUCUAGAACCGAUGACCCCCGUUCAACCUCACCUUCUCUUGUUUUACCCGCCUAUAUACCGCCGUCGUCAGCCCACCCUGUGAAGGCUCAGUAGUGAGCGUAACUGGCAUAGCCCAAAACGUCAGGCCGAGGUGUAGCGAAUGAGAAGGGAAGAAAUGGGCUACAAUUGCUUAAACAGCUAAAACGAAUUGUAUACCGCUGAAAAUGCAGACAUGAAGGAGGAUUUAGAAGUAAGGGGCAAGCAGAGUGUCCCCCUGAAAUGGUUCUGAAGCGUGCACACACCGCCCGUCACUCUCCCCGAGUUAUAAUAUUGAAAUUUAACUAAUAAAUCUUAACCCUACAAAGGGGAGGCAAGUCGUAACAUGGUAAGUGUACCGGAAGGUGCACUUGGAAUAAAAC